UUUUUUUUUUUUUGGUCAUUUUAGGGCCUUACCCACAGCAUAUGGAAGUUCCCAGGCUAGGGGUCCAAUCAGAGCUGCAGCUGCCGGCCUACACCACAGCCACAGCAAUACAGCAAUGCUGGAUCCUUAACCCACUGAGCGGGGCCAGGGAUUGAAUCUGCGUCCUCAUGGAUGCUAGUCUGAUUCGUUUCUGCUGAGCCACCAUGGGAACGCCCCUCCUUCUGUCUUUAAAAAAAAAAAAAAAAGUGUAUGGUGCAGCCAAGAGGAACCCAUGCGUUCUGCCUCCUUACUCCGGGUAGACCCUGAGCCGACCCAGAGCAAAGGAGGAAGCAGACGAGAGCUCUGGGGCCUGGAACAGACAACACAGGCAUAGAGCCAGUGGGCCCUCUUCUCCCUUCCUCAACCCAUGCUGAACGGCCAACACAACCGCCCUGCCCACGACCCCUCAUCAUAAAGGGCAGUUGGCUAGGGUGUGGGAACGGUGGGGAAGCUCUCCCAGCCUAGAUUUGAACCCAUAGCAUUAAAGAUGCUCUCAGUCUUAAAAGUUGGGAAAAUAGCAUAAGGAGAUUAUUCCAAAGUCAGCUUAGAGAACUGUAGAUAAUUGACAGGUGGAACUGGGGAAAGAAUUCUGGAAAAACAAAUCCAGAAGUUCUCAGCGUAAGCCCUAUGGCAUUUCUCUCUCUCUCUCCCUUUCCCUUUCUUUCUUUCCUUCCUUCCUUGCUCUGUCCCUUUUAGGGCGUCGCCUGCUGCAUGUGGAAGUUCCGAGAUCAGAGGUAGAAUCAGAGCUGCAGCUGCUGGCCUACACCACAGCCACAGCAACACCAGAUUUGAGCCACAUCUGCUAAUGUUGCAGCUGGUGACCACAUCAGAUCCUUAACCCACUGAGCAAGGCCAGGGAUGGAACCUGCAACCUCACGGACACUAUGUUGGGUUCUUAAACCUCUGAGCCACAGUGGGAACUCCUGCACCAUGGCAUUUUAGGUCCCGUAACUAUUAGCUGUGGCGGGAUGUCCACUGCACUGUAGGAUGUUUGGCAUCAUCUGUGGUCUCUCACUAGCAGCCGGUAGCAAACCCCACCCUCCCAAAUCAUGACAACCCAAAAUGGCUCCAGACACUGUCCC
Molecule: long non-coding RNA, 1121 nt
Filed under: Sus scrofa (pig)
Lineage: Eukaryota; Metazoa; Chordata; Mammalia; Artiodactyla; Suidae
Description: lncRNA (ENSSSCG00015046597.1)
Source: RNAcentral